This 492-nucleotide ribosomal RNA is filed under the name uncultured bacterium. RNAcentral's name for it is "partial 16S ribosomal RNA". It matches the Rfam family "Bacterial small subunit ribosomal RNA", at positions 29 to 507 of the family's 1533-position model. The record is from RNAcentral.
AGUGAACGCUGGCGGUAGGCCUAACACAUGCAAGUCGAACGGCAGCACAGUAAGAGCUUGCUCUUACGGGUGGCGAGUGGCGGACGGGUGAGGAAUACAUCGGAAUCUACUUUUUCGUGGGGGAUAACGUAGGGAAACUUACGCUAAUACCUCAUACGACCUACGGGUGAAAGCAGGGGAUCUUCGGACCUUGCGCGAUUGAAUGAGCCGAUGUCGGAUUAGCUAGUUGGCGGGGUAAAGGCCCACCAAGGCGACGAUCCGUAGCUGGUCUGAGAGGAUGAUCAGCCACACUGGAACUGAGACACGGUCCAGACUCCUACGGGAGGCAGCAGUGGGGAAUAUUGGACAAAGGGCGCAAGCCUGAUCCAGCCAUACCGCGUGGGUGAAGAAGGCCUUCGGGUUGUAAAGCCCUUUUGUUGGGAAAGAAAAGCAGCAGGUUAAUACCCCGCUGUUCUGACGGUACCCAAAGAAUAAGCACCGGCUAACUUCGUG